ACCGUUCGGGUGCCGGCGAGGUGGCGGAACGGGUGAGUAAUAUAGUACGGAACGUACCUUCGAGGUGGGGGAUAACGUAGCGAAAGUUACGCUAAUACCGCAUAUUCUGUGAGCAGGAAAGCAGGGGAUCGCAAGACCUUGCGCUGAUUGAGCGGCCGAUAUCAGAUUAGCUAGUUGGUGAGGUAAAGGCUCACCAAGGCGACGAUCUGUAGCGGGUCUGAGAGGAUGAUCCGCCACACUGGAACUGAGACACGGUCCAGACUCCUACGGGAGGCAGCAGUGGGGAAUUUUGGACAAUGGGCGCAAGCCUGAUCCAGCCAUGCCGCGUGAGUGAAGAAGGCCUUCGGGUUGUAAAGCUCUUUCGGCCGGGAAGAAAUCGCACAGGUUAAUACCCUGUGUGGAUGACGGUACCGGAAUAAGAAGCACCGGCUAACUACGUG
This 440-nucleotide ribosomal RNA is filed under the name uncultured bacterium. RNAcentral describes it as "bacterial SSU rRNA". It matches the Rfam family "Bacterial small subunit ribosomal RNA", at positions 76 to 507 of the family's 1533-position model. The record is from RNAcentral.